GUCUGUGGCCGCACUAUCCUAGACACACCCAAUCUCAUUGAUCUUGGAAGCUAAGCAGGGUGGGGCCUGGUUAGUACUUUGAUGGGAGAAUUCUAAAUGUGAAAUUUAUUAGGUUAAAGAAC
This 122-nucleotide ribosomal RNA is filed under the name Oryctolagus cuniculus (rabbit). The record is from RNAcentral. Lineage: Eukaryota; Metazoa; Chordata; Mammalia; Lagomorpha; Leporidae.